This 497-nucleotide ribosomal RNA is filed under the name uncultured bacterium. Its description in RNAcentral is "partial 16S ribosomal RNA". It matches the Rfam family "Bacterial small subunit ribosomal RNA", at positions 28 to 507 of the family's 1533-position model. The record is from RNAcentral.
GAUGAACGCUGGCGGCGUGCCUAAUACAUGCAAGUCGAGCGAACGGACGAGAAGCUUGCUUCUCUGAUGUUAGCGGCGGACGGGUGAGUAACACGUGGAUAACCUACCUAUAAGACUGGGAUAACUUCGGGAAACCGUAGCUAAUACCGGAUAAUAUUUUGAACCGCAUGGUUCAAAAGUGAAAGACGGUCUUUCUGUCACUUAUAGAUGGAUCCGCGCUGCAUUAGCUAGUUGGUAAGGUAACGGCUUACCAAGGCAACGAUGCAUAGCCGACCUGAGAGGGUGAUCGGCCACACUGGAACUGAGACACGGUCCAGGCUCCUACGGGAGGCAGCAGUAGGGAAUCUUCCGCAAUGGGCGAAAGCCUGACGGAGCAACGCCGCGUGAGUGAUGAAGGUCUUCGGAUCGUAAAACUCUGUUAUUAGAGAAGAACAUAUGUGUAAGUAACUGUGCACAUCUUGACGGUACCUAAUCAGAAAGCCACGGCUAACUACGUG